Molecule: non-coding RNA, 991 nt
Organism: Pelobates cultripes (western spadefoot toad)
Lineage: Eukaryota; Metazoa; Chordata; Amphibia; Anura; Pelobatidae
Source: the annotation of a GenBank genome assembly
GUUGAAAUGAGGAGUGGGUGGGAGGGUCAUUCUGAUGCUGACCUCAAGCAAUAUGAGUCAGGUAAGGGGUGUCCCUUAUAUAGGGGAGUGAAUUAAUUUAAGCCCCUCCCACAAAUACAGGCCAAAUGGCCUUAAAACUUGUGUUCGGGGCAAAUAGCCGUAUAUGGAGUAAGGUUCCAGCAUAAGCGUAGGAUAGUAUAAAGGGAGCAAGUCGGUUGUGGUGUGCCGAGACCGACGAUACGGUAGGCCUGUAAAUAAAGAGGGCAAAAAUGAAUAAUCAAAGAUUUAAUACAGUCAACAAUAUAUACAAAUUAACCAGACAUUUCCUUAAAUGCAUUACGGUAUUUAAUUCCUUGAAGGAUUUUGAAGGUAGGAAUCUAGGACCGCAACUGGACACCAUUUGUUGCGAGUAGGAUAGUAUGUUAUCUCUACUGUUGGUGCGUGUUGACUCGUUUCGGAAUGUGGUAGAGCCAAUAGGUAAUGAUAUAUGUGUUUAUAUACGUGGGAUCGUUGAAGACAAUGAUCUGUCUGAGUGGUGGUUAUGGUAGUGGAUUCUCUGGCCUGAGAAAGGCAUAAAAGGCAGUGUGCAUGGUGGUAAUGGCCAACUUGGUAGUAUAAUUGAAUGGUUGUAGCACUAAUAGGUCCGAUAAGGAUGGAAAAGUUGGAUGGCUAUUGGUAAUAUCUGAGAGGAACGUGGGGGGAUGGAUUCCUGAAAACCUCAGAGUAUAUUCUUGUCUGGUAUGAUAGCAUGAAGUUAUGGUAGUUUUGGCCAUAGGUUAUCCUCUGUUGUUGAAUGCCUGUAAAAUAUAUAAUUAAUGGUGUGUGAGAUGGUUUUAGUUUAAGGUGGCAAAAAAUGAAGCAAAACCUAGGAGAAAUGUUAUGACACAGGUUGAGCUAUGUCGUGUUCCAAUGAGAUUCUUUAAAGCCAGGUGAAUAGCUGUGUUAUGCGUUCUACAAGUAUGGGAUGAAAGUGCUAGGUGGGAUAGUGCAU